This 327-nucleotide ribosomal RNA is filed under the name uncultured eukaryote. RNAcentral's name for it is "partial 18S ribosomal RNA". It matches the Rfam family "Eukaryotic small subunit ribosomal RNA", at positions 1470 to 1796 of the family's 1831-position model. The record is from RNAcentral.
CCCUUAGAUGUUCUGGGCCGCACGCGCGCUACACUGACGGAGGCAGCGAGCAUGUCCUUCGCCGAGAGGUGUGGGGAAUCUUGUGAGUCUCCGUCGUGCUGGGGAUAGAUGGUUGCAAUUGUCGAUCUUGAACGAGGAAUUCCUAGUAAGCGCAAGUCAUCAGCUUGCGUUGAUUACGUCCCUGCCCUUUGUACACACCGCCCGUCGCUCCUACCGAUUGAAUGGUCCGGUGAAGCGUUUGGACUAUGGUUUUCUGAUGGUCCGCCGUUGGAUUACCGUGGGAAGUUCGUUAAACCUUAUCAUUUAGAGGAAGGAGAAGUCGUAACA